Molecule: ribosomal RNA, 253 nt
Filed under: uncultured bacterium
Lineage: Bacteria
Description: partial 16S ribosomal RNA
Rfam family: Bacterial small subunit ribosomal RNA
Source: RNAcentral
UACGAAGGGGGCUAGCGUUGCUCGGAAUUACUGGGCGUAAAGGGAGCGUAGGCGGACAGUUAAGUCAGAGGUGAAAGCCCAGGGCUCAACCUUGGAAUUGCCUUUGAUACUGACUGUCUUGAGUAUGGGAGAGGUAAGCGGAACUCCGAGUGUAGAGGUGAAAUUCGUAGAUAUUCGGAAGAACACCAGUGGCGAAGGCGGCUUACUGGCCCAUUACUGACGCUGAGGCUCGAAAGCGUGGGGAGCAAACAGG